GUCUCACAGCAACGCCGGCUCCUUAACCCACUGAACAAGGCCAGGGAUCAAGCCCGCAACCUCAUGGUUCCUAGUCGGAUUCAUUUCUGCUGUGCCAUGAUGGGAACUCCAAGUUUUGUCUUUUUCUUUUGCUGUGCCUGUGACAUGCAGAAGUUCCCAGGCUAGGGGUCGAAUCGGAGCUGUAGCUGCCAGCCUACGCCAGAGCCACAGCAACGCAGGAUCCGAGCCGAGUCUGCAAUCUACACCACAGCUCACGGCAACGCCGGAUCGUUAACCCACUGAGCGAGGCCAGGGAUCGAACCCGCAACCUCAUGGUUCCUAGUCGAAUUCGUUAACCACUGCGCCACGACAGGAACUCCAGUUUAUUGAUUUUAGAUCUUUCUUUUCUAAUAUAUGCUUUCAAUACUAUACCUUUUUCUCUAAGUACUGUUUUUGCUGUAUCCCCUAAAUUUCAGUAAGUUGUAAUUUCAUUUUGUCCAAACAUUUAAAAAAUUCUCUUUUUUUCUUCUUUGAGUCAUGUGUUAUUUAGAAGUGUGAUGUUUAAUUUUGCAGUACUUAGGGUUUUUCUUUCUUUCUUUCUUUCUUUUUUUUUUUGUCUUUUUGCUAUUUCUUGGGCUGCUCCCGCGGCAUAUGGAGGUUCCCAGGCUAGGGGUCUAAUCGGAGCUGUAGUCUCUGGCCUACGCCAGAGCCAUAGCAACUCGGGAUCCGAGCCGCAUCUGCAACCUACACCACAGCUCACGGCAAUGCCGGAUCGUUAACCCACUGAGCAAGGGCAGGGACCGAACCCGCCACCUCGUGGUUCCUAGUCGGAUUCGUUAACCACUGCGCCACAACGGGAACUCCUACUUAGGGGUUUUCUAGCUGUCUUUCUGUUACUAAUUUCUACUUUAAUUGCAUUGUGGUUUAAGGGCAGACAUUGGAUGAUUUCUGUUCUUUUAAAUUUGUUAAGGUGCGUUUCGUAGAAUGUGGCCUAUCUUGGUGAACGUUCUACAUGAGUUUGAGAAGAAUGUGUGAUAGGCUGUUGUUGGGCGAAGUAGUCCAGGCAUGUCGAUUACAUAGCAUUGAUUGAUGGCCCUGUUGAGUUCCGUUGUGUCUUCACUGAUUUUCUGCCUGCUGGAUUUGUCCAUUUUGUAUAGAGGAGGAUUGAAGACCUGAGUUAUUGUAGUGAAUUUAUCUAUUUCUCCUUGCUGUUUUAUCCAGUUUUGACUCAUGAAUUGUAAUGCUGUUGUGAGAUGCAUAACAUUAAGGAUUGUUAGGUCUUUUUGGAGUAUUGACAACCCCCCCUUUCCCUUUGUAAUAACUUUUUUUUCCCUUUUUUUGGUUUUUAGGGCUGCACCCGCAGCAUAUGGAAGUUCCCAGGCUCAGGGUCAAAUCAGGGCUACAGUUGCCAGUCUACACCACAGCCAUAGCAAUGUGGGAUCGGAGCCACAUCCACGACCUACACCACAGCUCGUGGCAAUGCUGGAUCCUUAACCCCCUGAGCAAGGCCACGGAUGGAACCCGCAUCCUUGUGGGUACUAAUCAGGUUCAUUACUGCUGAGCCACAAAGGCAAUUCCGCUCCCACUUUGUUUUAUUAGUGUUAGUAAGUGUAAUUCCAUCCCUUUACUUUUUUUAUUAUUAUUAGAGUAUAGUUGACUUACAAUGUUGAGCCAACUUCUGCUGUAUGUCCCUUUGCUAUUAACCUAUACGUGUCCCUGUGUUUAAAGUGGGUUUCUUGUAGGAAAUAUAUCAUAUGCCUGUGUGUAGGUUUUUGUUCUUGUUUUUGUUUCGCAUUUAUCCAGCUUGGUGUUCUUUGAGAGUUCUGGAUCUGUGGUUUGGUACAUGACCUUUUGGAGAACAUUCUCAGUCAUUAUUUCUUCAAAUGCUUUUUCUUUUUUUCCCCGUUUCCUUCUGGCAUUCCUAUUGCAUAUACGUUAUGCCUUUGGUAGUUGCCCCAUAGUUCUUGAUAUUCUGCUCCCUGCCCCUGCUCCCCCCACCCCAGUUUUUUUUCUCUUUGUGUUUCCACUUUGGAAGUUCGUAGGGUCUCAUCUUCAUGCUCAGUUUCUUUCCUCAGCUGUGUCCAGUCUGCCAAUGAGCUUAUCGAAGGCAGUCUUCAGUCUUUCUUUCUUUCUUUUGAAUUUAAUUUUAUUGGAGUUUAGCUGACUUACACUGUUGUAUUGGAAGGUAUUCUUCAUUUCCAUUACAGUGUUUCAGUCUCUAGCAUUUUUUUCUUUUUGCUUCCUAGGAUUUUUAUCUUUUUACAUUAUUCGUCUGUUACUGCAUGAAGUCAGCCUUUUUUGUUAAAGCUUUUAGCUUGUUCAUCAUGAUUCAGAAAAUUCCUGGUCUGAUAAUUCCAACAUUUCUGACAUAUGUGACUGAUGCUGGUGCCUGUUCAGUUCUUCACUUUAGUAAUCUGUUUUUGAAAGACAGACGUAGUCACUGGUCAAAGGAGCUGUGAAGAAUAGGCCUUUAGAGCUGCAGUGGUGAUGUGGGGGAGUGCUCUGUGGUCCUGUGACACGGUCUCCGUCUCUGGGUGAGCCCGCACCCCUGAACUGUGACCUUUACCAGUGCUUCUCUGCUUUGUUCCUUUCGUAGGUGGGACAGGAUGGCUAGAGUGGCCUGGAGUUGUGUACUUCCCUUCCUCAUGCGGAAGGUUAGAGGGGCUGGAGUUGGAUAUUUCCCUUCCUCCAGGUAGGUUAGGUUCUGGUAAAACCCCAGCGGGUUAGGUUUUGGUAAAAUAGGUGGUUUUUUGUUUUUUCUUUCUUUUUUUUCUUUUUUGGCCGCCCCAUGGCAUAUGGAGUUCCCAGGCCGGGGAUCUGAUCCGAGCCACAGUUGCAGCCUAUGGCGCAGCCGUGGCAACACUGGAUCCUUAACCCACUGAGAUACUGUGCUGGGUGGGGGAUUGAACCUGCAUCCCAGAGCUCCAGAGAUACCACUGAUCCUGUUAUGCCGCAGCAGGAACUCCAAAAUAGUAUUUUUGAAGGCCAGCUUUGUUAAGAACAGAAUGUCCAGGUAUAUUUCAGAACUGUUCCUUUUCCCUCCCAGAAACAAGAGAGGAGGGGAGAAGUCUCUCCACUUACUACUGAAGGACACUUGUGUAGCUUCCACGUACUGGCAGUUAUGGAUGAAGCUGCUGUAAACCUCUGUGUGCAGGUUUUUGUGUGGACAUAAGUUUUCAACUCCUUUGGGUAAAUACCAGCAACAUUGUUGGGUUGUAUGGUAAGGAUUGUAGGGUAGUUUUGUAAGAAACUGCUAAGCUGUCUUCCAGCUGCCUCUGGCUGUUUGCGCUUCCAGCAGGAAAUGAGAGUUCCUGCUGCCCCACAUCCUCACCAGCAUUUGGUGUCAGUGUUUUGGACUUUGGUCGUUCUUCUGGUGUGUAGUGGUAUCACGUGGUUUUAAUUUGCAUUUCUCUGACGACAUGAUGAUGUGGAGCAGUUUUCAUAUGAUCACGUCAUUUUUAAUCACUGUAUUUCAUGAGGUAGACCAAAGCACCUUGGUGCAGAUACAGCCAUUAUUAUUUCAAUUCCAUACAUUUGUGGAUGGCCUGGAAUGUUUAUCCUGUGGUGGUCCCCGCAGUGUGCUGUGACUUCUGUAUUUAGACAUUUCUCUUUUUUCUGUUAUAAACUCUUGGGUCAGUGUCAUGUAUGAGACUUUCGGCUUAGGAUAAACACCUUAGGAUGCACUCACUAGAGCAGAGUGAGCCAAAGAAUGUAUAGAUUUUAACAUCCUUUCAUAUCCAUGACCAGAGAAAUCACCCAGUUUAUACUUCUGUCAGCAGUUCCAGCCAGUUUUAUAUUAAUACAUAUUUAAAAUCUUUUUUUAUCAAGGGAGAGUUUUAACACAGAGACAUAGAAUAAUGUAAUGACCCCUCUGGUACUCAGCUCCAACAGUCAUACACCAAGGCCAGUCCUGUCCUACUUGCUCCUUCAGUGCCCACUUCUCUCCUGUGUUGUCACAAAAUAGUAGCUCCACUGAACUGAGAUAGAAAUGCAGAAAAGUACGCAUGUCAUGAAUGGGUUUUCACAGUCUGACACUCCCUGGCUAGUCAGUGCCCCAGGUAUCACCUUUGUCUGCUUUCAGUCACACGCACUUUGCCUGCGGCAACCAGAAGCGUGAUAUCUGACUGCCUGGACUAUUUCUGCCCAGUUUUGUUUUCCUUUGACAUGUAGAAUCUUAUGGUAUGUUCACUUGGGUCUAGUUUUUCUCUUGGCAUUGUGUUUGAGAGUAUCCACGUGCUUGCAGUUGUUAAUUCUUUAUUUUUGUUGUAUAUGAAAAUUUAAUGUAUGAAAAUAUUUAUUCUGUUAUUGCUGGACGUUUGGAUAGUGCCCCUUUGGGGGCCAUUACAAAUAGUGCUGCUCUGAGCAUUCAGAGUUUGUGUCUUUUGAGGCGGGAGGGUCCAGAUGGCAGAGGAGUAAGACGUGGCGUUCACCUUCUCCCACAAAAACAUUGGAAAAAACCCAUCUGCAUGUAGAGUGAUGUGCACAGAACAUCUACUGAACGCUGGCAGAAGACCAAAGUUUGUGCCUUUCGGUGAACAUAUGUUUGCCUUUCUGUCGAGGAUAAACCUGGAAGUGAAAUUGCUAGGUCACCGGGGUGCAUGUAUUCAGUUUUGGAAAACUGUGGCUGUACCUACUAAAGUGGGGUCAUUUAGUUAUCCUCUCCCCGCCCCCGCCCCCUUUUUGAUUGCACCCAUGGCAUGUGGAAGUUCCCAGGCUGGGGAUCACACCUGAGCUACAGCAACGACUAGAGCUGCAGCAGUGCUGGCUCCUUAACCUGCUGAGCCACAAGGUAACUCCUGGUUAUCCUUUUUUAAUGAGUAAUAUUUGAGUCUCUUGUUCUUUCUUCUGUUGCAUUAUCUGUUCUUACUGUAUUAGCUCUUUGUUGCUAUAUAAUAAUAAUUAUCCCCAAACAUAGUGGCUUAUGACAACAGUAAACAUUAUCUCACAGUUUUUGUGGGUUAAGAACUUGGGAGCAGCUUGGCUGGGCCAUUCUGGCUUGGGUGUCACCAGCCUUCUGAAGACUUGACUGCAGCUGAGGGCCCUUCCCAAGCGGCUGGCUCACAGGCCUGGCAGGUUAGUCCUGGCUGUUCCUUUUCUGGUCGGCCUUCGUCAGAGUGUCCUGUCCUUGGGACGGGGUGACUGACUUUCCCCAGCACAGAGAUUUGAGAGAAAGAACACCAAGUGGAAACUGUCACACACACCCCCCCUUUUGGGCUGCCCCAUGGCAGAUGGAGUUCCCAGGCUAGGGAUCAGAUCCGAACCACAAUUGGGACCUACUACGAAAGAGCUGUGGCAACCCCAGGCCCUUAACCCACUCUGCCAGGCUGGGGAUUGAACCUGUGGCCUGGCGCUACGGAGAGACUGCCGAUCCUGUUGCGCCACAGCGGGAUCUCUGAAGCUAUCAUUUUUAUGACACAGCCUCAAAAGUCUCGGGGUGUUUAAUUUUGCCGUGGUCUGUUAGAAGAGAGUCACUUAAAUCAGCCCAGCUUGGGGAGUUAAGUUUUUUGAAACGAAUGUCAAAGAAUUUGUGGACAUUCUUUCUUUUUCAGCUGUGCCCACAGAAUGUGAGAGUUAUGGGGCCAGGGACUGAAUCCAAGCCAGAGCUCCGACCUGCACCACAGCUGCAGCCAUGCAGGAUCCUUAACCCGCUGUGCAGGGCUGGGGAUUGAACUGCUUCCCCCACCCAGUGACAGGCUGCAUCAUUAACUCACUGUGCCACAGCAGGAACUCCAAAGUUGUUAGAUAUAUUUUCUUUUUUUUUGUCUUUUUAGGCCCAUACCUGCAAAAUAUGGAAGCUCUCAGGCUAGGGGUCAAAUAGGAGCUGCAGCUGCUGGCUUAUACCACAGCCACAGCAGUGCGGGAUCUGAGCCGCUUCUGUGACCUACACCACAGCUCAUGGCAACACCGGAUCCUUAGCCCACUGAGGGAGGCCAGGGAUGGAACCUGAGUCCUCACGGAUACUAGUCAGGUUCAUUACCGCUGAGCCACAGUGGGAAUUCCAUAUAUUUAAAAAAAUUUUUUUUUCCCAUUUUUUAAAGUUUUAUUUUUGUGUAGAUGGUUUACAGUGUUGCGAUAGUCUCUGCUGUGCAGCAGAGGGAUUCAGUCAUGCCUGUACCACAUCCGUUCUUUUGCAGGUUCUUUUCCCAGGUAGGUUAUCACAGAGUACUGGGCGGAGUUUCCCUGUUGGCCAGUCGUUCCGUUCCGUGCACCCCAGGUACCUGCUAAUCCCAAGCCCUUAGCGUGGAUGUAUUUGCAAACGCGACACAUUGGUAGGGUUUCUUUCCUACCAGGAUUUCAUUCUGGAUGAGAAUCUUUGGGAGACAGAAGCAUCAUGAAUAUCUUUGCUUACUCCAUGGGCCGUCAUUAGUCUUUUGAGGAAGAGGAGUUAGUGUAAUUCACUGGAUUAGUUUCUCCUUCAUCCCUAGCCCUUUCUCAUUACUUUGAAGAAAAUCCAAAAACAGUCAUUUUGCUUCUUCUGUAUGUCAGUAUAGAUCUUUCAAAGAUAAAACCUUUUUUUUUUUUUUGGUUUUAACCAUAACAUAAUCACAAAACUGUAAUAAUCUAACAAACCCUACCACACAGUACUUGUUUAAUAUUAUCCAAUACCUGAUUGGAGGUGAAUAUCCAUUUGUCUCAAUACAAUUUUUAUGUACUAUUUUUUUCUAUUUUGGCAAAUCAGGCUCCAAAUAAGUGUAACAAUUCAGACAAUCUACAGAUUCCCCAGUCAUCACUCUUCCACAACCCCUUUGCCAUCUGUUUGUCAAAGACCUGGAAUUUUUGUUUUGUGGUAUCCCCACUGUCCUCUGUUGUGUACACAGCUAAGUUUCUUCUUUGGGCCGGGAACUCUCUUGCCAUCUCACUGGUGUUUCUUCUUUGGUUGUGAUCUGUCUCUGGAGGUUGAAUGUGGACCCAAAUUGAAA
RNAcentral lists this long non-coding RNA (6899 nucleotides) under Sus scrofa (pig). RNAcentral's name for it is "lncRNA (ENSSSCG00005006540.1)". The record is from RNAcentral. Lineage: Eukaryota; Metazoa; Chordata; Mammalia; Artiodactyla; Suidae.